Brassica rapa (field mustard) is the source of this 673-nucleotide long non-coding RNA. RefSeq lists it as uncharacterized. The record is from RefSeq and is a predicted model, not a curated record. NCBI's taxonomy places the organism in Eukaryota, Viridiplantae, Streptophyta, Magnoliopsida, Brassicales, Brassicaceae.
AGCUUUAUUUGAUUUUAUUACCCAAAAACAAAAUCUUUCAUCUUGUUCAAGUUUUUGUCUGAAUUUGAUUCUCUUUUGUGUCUUGUCUGAACGUAACACAUUGCUGGUGAUUUGAUAAGUAAGACGAUUCUCUUUGUUUGUUAUCUAUGGAUAAUGAUGGAUUGAAUUGUGAAGUCUCAUAGUAAAAGAGUAAGCCUUUAUGCUCUCUCUUCAUGUUUGCUGAGUGUAUAUUCCAAGUGAGAAAUGAAAGGAAGAAUGAUGAUGGUUGGUGUUUGUAAUACUGAUCUGGUCCGUUUUGUAAACGAUUAUCUUGGCACAUUUCACAUCUUUUAUAGCGGGUUUACUGGAGUUUUCGAGUAUAUGGAAAGACUGUCCUGGCUGAGUUAGCUAUGAAGAAAAUUAACAACUUUGGACAUGGAGUAUGAUUCCUCUCUUGUCCAUGUUGUUUUGAAAUGGUGGUUCCAUGGUUUAGGCUUAUUAUGUUAUAAUAUGAUCAAACAUAAGAGGCAAUGAAUAGCAGCUUAUGUCCCAGUUGUUUGCCCUUACUGAUAGGAAAAAAACUCCAUCUUUGCUGCAACUGUUAUUUUAUUUUUAUUUUGCAAAGUUUCUUGGUGCAAAAUGUUUGCUUUACCAUUGAUUCUUGAUUUAACAAAGCGUUGAGAUUCCACUUUGA